GGUUGCCAUUCUCCUGCCUCAGCCUCCUGAGUAGCUGGGACUACAGAUUCCUCAAAUCCAACAUGUACAAAAUGGAACUCAUCAUCUUUCUCUACCAACCAGCAAUUCUUCUGUGUUCUUAAUCUUAAUAUUCACUCUCAA
This is a long non-coding RNA of Homo sapiens (human), 141 nucleotides long. RefSeq lists it as uncharacterized. The transcript has 2 exons. The record is from RefSeq and is a predicted model, not a curated record. NCBI's taxonomy places the organism in Eukaryota, Metazoa, Chordata, Mammalia, Primates, Hominidae.